UCUCAAUAUCUUCUCUGCUUCCACCCUUCUUAGUCUAUUGAUCAUCAUCAGUUUUCAACCAUUGCAUUCUGUUGAGGGCUUCUUUAUUGAUUUUGCUACUUUUACCUAAUUUCGUUAAUUGUUCUCCUUGAAUCCUUAUCCCAAAAUGUUUAGAGAUAUGGGUUAAAAUCAUAGCAUAAGGUAAGAAUAUCUGUGCUCUACCGAUCGCCUCUUGUAUAGUCCUGAUAAUCAUUCUUGAAAGGUUGAGUGAGAUACAUUGGACUACAUGAUACAUGAUUGUUAAGUCCUUCUCUCUUACAAUAUCAAAUUCUCCUGCUCUAGAUUGUAUAAUCUAAUAAACAAUGAUAUGGAGGAGUCUCAUUUUAAUGUCUUAGUGUCGUCCAUAGAUUUUAUGGAAUUGACCGUGGUUCUUUAUCCUAAAAAUAAUUUCUAUUCUUAUGCUUCUAUCCUCUAUAUUAUCUAGU
This 464-nucleotide long non-coding RNA is filed under the name Elaeis guineensis (African oil palm). RNAcentral describes it as "long non-coding RNA (EGUI_LNC008064)". The record is from RNAcentral. Lineage: Eukaryota; Viridiplantae; Streptophyta; Magnoliopsida; Arecales; Arecaceae.